GUCUAUGGCCAUGCUCCCUUGACCAAGCCCGAUCCCAUCUGAUCUCAGAAGCUAAGCAGGGUUGGGCCUUGUUAGUACUUGGAUAGGAGACCACCUAGGAAGACCAGGUGCUGUAGGCG
This 119-nucleotide ribosomal RNA is filed under the name Pteropus alecto (black flying fox). Lineage: Eukaryota; Metazoa; Chordata; Mammalia; Chiroptera; Pteropodidae. The record is from RNAcentral.